Molecule: long non-coding RNA, 2058 nt
Filed under: Pelobates cultripes (western spadefoot toad)
Lineage: Eukaryota; Metazoa; Chordata; Amphibia; Anura; Pelobatidae
Source: RNAcentral
CAGUUUCAACAGCCAUUGCACAUGCUAUCAAUGCUCUGAGACACGCCGGCAUACCCUGUACCGGAGCUCGAACUACUUUGGAAAAGAAUGCUAUGGGACGCAUACCGCCUCCUUGCUCUUGUGCACAGACUGCGGCCAUGGUUUUACACUUGUCCCAAACAUACAAAUGAAAUGGUUUACAAUACACAGGUAGUCCUAAAGCCUGGGCUUGCACAAUAACAACUGUAAGGGCAAUAUAUGCAGCUAGCAUGUCUGGUGACCAGCAGACAUUUUCAGGGCUGUCAGAACGUACAGCCUCCCUUAGGAUUGAGUCAUAAUGGGAGCAUUCAGGGAUCCAUUGGCGGCAGUAAUUAAUCAUGCCGAGGAAGGUGAGCAACUCCUUCCGAGUAGUGGGUGUAGGAAUCCUCUGAAUGACCUCAAUACAUUUUGGACUCAAUUGUCUGGUGCCUAAAGCCAGAACAAAACCUAAGUAUUCAACCUUUGAUUUACACAAUUGCAUUUUGUGUUUAACAACCUUGUGACCCACAGUUGCUGACAGUAUCCACAGUGCUUGCCUCAUAGUUAGGGCUACAUAACAACAAAUCAUCAACAUUUUGCAAAAAGGACGGAACCAUGACCGGUGGUCCAUGUUUUUUUUUUUUAGAGUAUGUUGGAGUACCAACGAAUAAACAGCUGGGGAAUCCACAUAGCCUUGGGUAAGCGUGUCCAGGUAAACUGACAGCCUUCAAAAAAUAAAAACCAUAAGUAGCUGUGUCUCUUGAUCAAUAGGUAUAGAAAAAAUGCAUUACUUAAAUCAAUGACAGUGAAGCAAGUGGCAUCAUGUGGAAUGGCUGUAAUGAGGGAUGUCACAUCAGGGACAAUGGGUGAAAUGGGCACAAUUAAACUAUUCAGGGCUCUAAAGUCCUGAACUAAGCGAUAUGCUGGCCAGUGGUGUUGGGAGUGGGUCUGGUGUUGUUCUUGCCUACCGGGCAUAUUUUGAGAAUGGUGGGGUUGUUGGGGUGUGUGGGGUUUCCUGGGGUGUGGACACUCAUUCCUCCAGUGGCCAUAUUGGCCACAGUUGAAACAAGUGUUCCUGUCUAUUCCUCCUUGGUUACCCCUGACCCUAUAACCCUGAUUUCCCUGUCUCCAUCCCCUUGCCCCUCUUUGACCACCCCUUCCACGGGCUUUAUGUGUUCCAUCCCAUCCUCGCUCUCAGCCUGUGUAGCUGGACAUAUGUUGCAAUCCCUGAGCAUAAUAAGCAACCUUACUUUCCUAAACCUUUUCUUAAUUCAAAACAACCUGCAUUUUCCUUUUCUAUAACCUUGGUAAGAAAAUCUGAGCUAUCCAAAUUGUCCCAGUCUGAAAUCAAUUGUUUCACAAGCAAAGAAUACUGUGGCAACAUAUUACCAAGGCAUGACUGUAUUUUAAAGAUAUCUAUAUCAUCUCCAGACAUCAAACCUGCCUCAUCCUUCCAACACUUGUAAAAUUUCUUUACAAAAAUCAUAUUACCAAUCUCUUCCUUUGCAUCUUGCUUAUAUGCCAAAGCAGUGAAUAUAGACUGCUUAUUCUUCCAUAAUCCCAACAUUUCAGCUUCCACCUUGUUCCAGAUUUUAGCACAUCUUACUGAAGUACUAAGCUCAUAAUCACCAAUUCAUUUCAAACCAUAUAACUCAUACUCAGCAUCCAAUGUAAUAUUAGUCAUCUCAUAAAACAAUAUCUUUGUAGAAACACAUAAUGGGUACCCAGCAGAUAUGCCAAUACAGAAAUCACAUUUAUGGGCACACAACUACACACUCUGUCUCCCUCCUAGGAAACACAGAUAGACACAAUAUAAAAGCAAUCUUAAACUAACACCUCCAAAUCUCCAACUAUUCUUGGCCAAAACGCUAGUAUUCAACAACUAAUAAAACAGUUAUUUGCUAGGUUAUUUGGCUGUCAUUCUUAUCAGUAUCACUAGACUGUGACAAACUGAUUCACAUAUAAUUUAAAACAAUACAGCAACAUAUAAAUUAAACCACUUUCAAGUUAAACUUCACACUUAUCACACAUUAUCACAGUCACCAUUUACACAGAAUAAAC